GUAAAUCCCCCCUUUCUAGUGUACUUACCAUUCAAAUUCUUUACUAGCCAAUAAGAGUACAUCUUUGGUCAACAAUCCUCUUAACAGUCCUUUUCUCCUUAAAUUCUGUGGCUGCCACACCCUGAAUUUUCAGUUUAGAUGCGUUGGAAGCAAAACAUUCAUAGGAAAAUGAUAUAGCUAGCAGUAGAUCACAGAAAAGGAACACACUUAGUUUUCUACCCUUCUGGCUUUAUGCCAAAUGCAUUUUGUUGGUGAUUAAAUUGUGGCUUAAAUAAGAAACUUGGUGUUUCAUGUUU
Lycium ferocissimum is the source of this 296-nucleotide long non-coding RNA. RefSeq lists it as uncharacterized. The transcript has 2 exons. Lineage: Eukaryota; Viridiplantae; Streptophyta; Magnoliopsida; Solanales; Solanaceae. The record is from RefSeq and is a predicted model, not a curated record.